GUCUAUAGCCAUGCUACCCUGAACAAGCUCAAUCCCAUCUCAUCUCUGAAGCUAAGCAGGGUCAGGCCUGGUUAGUACUUGGAUGGGAGACCACCUAGGAAGACCAGAAGCUGUCGGCA
Molecule: ribosomal RNA, 119 nt
Filed under: Pteropus alecto (black flying fox)
Lineage: Eukaryota; Metazoa; Chordata; Mammalia; Chiroptera; Pteropodidae
Source: RNAcentral